GCCUGAAUCAGUGUGUGUGUUAGUGGAAGCGUCUGGAAAGGCGCGCGAUACAGGGUGACAGCCCCGUACACAAAAAUGCACAUGCUGUGAGCUCGAUGAGUAGGGCGGGACACGUGGUAUCCUGUCUGAAUAUGGGGGGACCAUCCUCCAAGGCUAAAUACUCCUGACUGACCGAUAGUGAACCAGUACCGUGAGGGAAAGGCGAAAAGAACCCCGGCGAGGGGAGUGAAAAAGAACCUGAAACCGUGUACGUACAAGCAGUGGGAGCACGCUUAGGCGUGUGACUGCGUACCUUUUGUAUAAUGGGUCAGCGACUUAUAUUCUGUAGCAAGGUUAACCGAAUAGGGGAGCCGAAGGGAAACCGAGUCUUAACUGGGCGUUAAGUUGCAGGGUAUAGACCCGAAACCCGGUGAUCUAGCCAUGGGCAGGUUGAAGGUUGGGUAACACUAACUGGAGGACCGAACCGACUAAUGUUGAAAAAUUAGCGGAUGACUUGUGGCUGGGGGUGAAAGGCCAAUCAAACCGGGAGAUAGCUGGUUCUCCCCGAAAGCUAUUUAGGUAGCGCCUCGUGAAUUCAUCUCCGGGGGUAGAGCACUGUUUCGGCAAGGGGGUCAUCCCGACUUACCAACCCGAUGCAAACUGCGAAUACCGGAGAAUGUUAUCACGGGAGACACACGGCGGGUGCUAACGUCCGUCGUGAAGAGGGAAACAACCCAGACCGCCAGCUAAGGUCCCAAAGUCAUGGUUAAGUGGGAAACGAUGUGGGAAGGCCCAGACAGCCAGGAUGUUGGCUUAGAAGCAGCCAUCAUUUAAAGAAAGCGUAAUAGCUCACUGGUCGAGUCGGCCUGCGCGGAAGAUGUAACGGGGCUAAACCAUGCACCGAAGCUGCGGCAGCGACGCUGAUGCGUUGUUGGGUAGGGGAGCGUUCUGUAAGCCUGUGAAGGUGUACUGUGAGGUAUGCUGGAGGUAUCAGAAGUGCGAAUGCUGACAUAAGUAACGAUAAAGCGGGUGAAAAGCCCGCUCGCCGGAAGACCAAGGGUUCCUGUCCAACGUUAAUCGGGGCAGGGUGAGUCGACCCCUAAGGCGAGGCCGAAAGGCGUAGUCGAUGGGAAACAGGUUAAUAUUCCUGUACUUGGUGUUACUGCGAAGGGGGGACGGAGAAGGCUAUGUUGGCCGGGCGACGGUUGUCCCGGUUUAAGCGUGUAGGCUGGUUUUCCAGGCAAAUCCGGAAAAUCAAGGCUGAGGCGUGAUGACGAGGCACUACGGUGCUGAAGCAACAAAUGCCCUGCUUCCAGGAAAAGCCUCUAAGCAUCAGGUAACAUCAAAUCGUACCCCAAACCGACACAGGUGGUCAGGUAGAGAAUACCAAGGCGCUUGAGAGAACUCGGGUGAAGGAACUAGGCAAAAUGGUGCCGUAACUUCGGGAGAAGGCACGCUGAUAUGUAGGUGAAGUCCCUCGCGGAUGGAGCUGAAAUCAGUCGAAGAUACCAGCUGGCUGCAACUGUUUAUUAAAAACACAGCACUGUGCAAACACGAAAGUGGACGUAUACGGUGUGACGCCUGCCCGGUGCCGGAAGGUUAAUUGAUGGGGUUAGCGCAAGCGAAGCUCUUGAUCGAAGCCCCGGUAAACGGCGGCCGUAACUAUAACGGUCCUAAGGUAGCGAAAUUCCUUGUCGGGUAAGUUCCGACCUGCACGAAUGGCGUAAUGAUGGCCAGGCUGUCUCCACCCGAGACUCAGUGAAAUUGAACUCGCUGUGAAGAUGCAGUGUACCCGCGGCAAGACGGAAAGACCCCGUGAACCUUUACUAUAGCUUGACACUGAACAUUGAGCCUUGAUGUGUAGGAUAGGUGGGAGGCUUUGAAGUGUGGACGCCAGUCUGCAUGGAGCCGACCUUGAAAUACCACCCUUUAAUGUUUGAUGUUCUAACGUUGACCCGUAAUCCGGGUUGCGGACAGUGUCUGGUGGGUAGUUUGACUGGGGCGGUCUCCUCCUAAAGAGUAACGGAGGAGCACGAAGGUUGGCUAAUCCUGGUCGGACAUCAGGAGGUUAGUGCAAUGGCAUAAGCCAGCUUGACUGCGAGCGUGACGGCGCGAGCAGGUGCGAAAGCAGGUCAUAGUGAUCCGGUGGUUCUGAAUGGAAGGGCCAUCGCUCAACGGAUAAAAGGUACUCCGGGGAUAACAGGCUGAUACCGCCCAAGAGUUCAUAUCGACGGCGGUGUUUGGCACCUCGAUGUCGGCUCAUCACAUCCUGGGGCUGAAGUAGGUCCCAAGGGUAUGGCUGUUCGCCAUUUAAAGUGGUACGCGAGCUGGGUUUAGAACGUCGUGAGACAGUUCGGUCCCUAUCUGCCGUGGGCGCUGGAGAACUGAGGGGGGCUGCUCCUAGUACGAGAGGACCGGAGUGGACGCAUCACUGGUGUUCGGGUUGUCAUGCCAAUGGCACUGCCCGGUAGCUAAAUGCGGAAGAGAUAAGUGCUGAAAGCAUCUAAGCACGAAACUUGCCCCGAGAUGAGUUCU
This 2514-nucleotide ribosomal RNA is filed under the name Escherichia coli. RNAcentral's name for it is "bacterial LSU rRNA". It matches the Rfam family "Bacterial large subunit ribosomal RNA", at positions 308 to 2812 of the family's 2925-position model. Lineage: Bacteria; Pseudomonadati; Pseudomonadota; Gammaproteobacteria; Enterobacterales; Enterobacteriaceae. The record is from RNAcentral.